GCCCAGCCGUAAAUUAACUUACACCCCAACCGCCAGAGAAUUACGAGCUUAGCUUAAAACUCAAAGGACUUGACGGUUCCCCACAUCCCCCUAGAGGAGCCUGUCCUGUUAUCGAUAAUCCCCGUUAAACCUCACCCCUUUUAGCCUUUCAGCCUGUAUACUUCCGUCGCAAGCCCACCACAUGAGUGAAACUCAGUCGGCCCAACUGCCCAUUUAGCACAAACGUCAGGUCAAGGUGCAGCACAUAUGGGGGGAAGAGAUGGGCUACAUUCUCUAAAUAUAGAGUACACGCAAAAUUAGUAUGAAACCCAAUUAUACAAGGCGGAUUUAGUAGUAAAGCGGGAAUAGAGCGCCCCCUUUAAUUCGGCACUGGGGUGCGUACACACCGCCCGUCAUCCUCCUCAAAGCCACUAACAAGUACCUAACACCCCAUAGCUGCAAGAAGAGGCAAGUCGUAACA
This 460-nucleotide ribosomal RNA is filed under the name Craugastor aff. loki JWS-2013. Its description in RNAcentral is "partial 12S ribosomal RNA". It matches the Rfam family "Bacterial small subunit ribosomal RNA", at positions 840 to 1493 of the family's 1533-position model. Lineage: Eukaryota; Metazoa; Chordata; Amphibia; Anura; Craugastoridae. The record is from RNAcentral.